RNAcentral lists this transfer RNA (85 nucleotides) under Clostridiaceae bacterium. Its description in RNAcentral is "tRNA-Leu". It matches the Rfam family "tRNA". Rfam says of the family: Transfer RNA (tRNA) molecules are approximately 80 nucleotides in length. Their secondary structure includes four short double-helical elements and three loops (D, anti-codon, and T loops). Further hydrogen bonds mediate the characteristic L-shaped molecular structure. tRNAs have two regions of fundamental functional importance: the anti-codon, which is responsible for specific mRNA codon recognition, and the 3' end, to which the tRNAs corresponding amino acid is attached (by aminoacyl-tRNA synthetases). tRNAs cope with the degeneracy of the genetic code in two manners: having more than one tRNA (with a specific anti-codon) for a particular amino acid; and 'wobble' base-pairing, i.e. permitting non-standard base-pairing at the 3rd anti-codon position. The record is from RNAcentral. Lineage: Bacteria; Bacillati; Bacillota; Clostridia; Eubacteriales; Clostridiaceae.
GCGGUCGUGGCGGAACUGGCAGACGCGCACGUUUGAGGGGCGUGUGAGGGGCCUCGUAUGGGUUCAAGUCCCAUCGACCGCACCA